This 857-nucleotide ribosomal RNA is filed under the name uncultured bacterium. RNAcentral's name for it is "bacterial SSU rRNA". It matches the Rfam family "Bacterial small subunit ribosomal RNA", at positions 62 to 887 of the family's 1533-position model. The record is from RNAcentral.
UCGAACGAAGCUUUCUUUCACCGAAUGCUUGCAUUCACCGAAAGAAGCUUAGUGGCGAACGGGUGAGUAACACGUAGGCAACCUGCCCAAAAGAGGGGGAUAACACUUGGAAACAGGUGCUAAUACCGCAUAACCAUGAACACCGCAUGAUGUUCAUGUAAAAGACGGCUUUUGCUGUCACUUUUGGAUGGGCCUGCGGCGUAUUAACUUGUUGGUGGGGUAACGGCCUACCAAGGUGAUGAUACGUAGCCGAACUGAGAGGUUGAUCGGCCACAUUGGGACUGAGACACGGCCCAAACUCCUACGGGAGGCAGCAGUAGGGAAUCUUCCACAAUGGACGAAAGUCUGAUGGAGCAACGCCGCGUGAAUGAAGAAGGCCUUCGGGUCGUAAAAUUCUGUUGUCAGAGAAGAACGUGCGUGAGAGUAACUGUUCACGUAUUGACGGUAUCUGACCAGAAAGCCACGGCUAACUACGUGCCAGCAGCCGCGGUAAUACGUAGGUGGCGAGCGUUGUCCGGAUUUAUUGGGCGUAAAGGGAACGCAGGCGGUCUUUUAAGUCUGAUGUGAAAGCCUUCGGCUUAACCGAAGUAGUGCAUUGGAAACUGGAAGACUUGAGUGCAGAAGAGGAGAGUGGAACUCCAUGUGUAGCGGUGAAAUGCGUAGAUAUAUGGAAGAACACCAGUGGCGAAAGCGGCUCUCUGGUCUGUAACUGACGCUGAGGUUCGAAAGCGUGGGUAGCAAACAGGAUUAGAUACCCUGGUAGUCCACGCCGUAAACGAUGAGUGCUAAGUGUUGGAGGGUUUCCGCCCUUCAGUGCUGCAGCUAACGCAUUAGCACUCCGCCUGGGGAGUACGGUC